This 466-nucleotide ribosomal RNA is filed under the name uncultured bacterium. Its description in RNAcentral is "bacterial SSU rRNA". It matches the Rfam family "Bacterial small subunit ribosomal RNA", at positions 338 to 795 of the family's 1533-position model. The record is from RNAcentral.
CCUANGGGUGGCUGCAGUGAGGAAUAUUGCGCAAUGGGGGCAACCCUGACGCAGCAACGCCGCGUGAGUGAGGAAGGUUUUCGGACCGUAAAGCUCUGUCGAGCGGGAAGAAAUGCAUGGUGGCUAAUAUCCAUUAUGCUUGACGGUACCGCUAAAGGAAGCACCGGCUAACUCCGUGCCAGCAGCCGCGGUAAUACGGAGGGUGCAAGCGUUAAUCGGAAUUACUGGGCGUAAAGCGAGUGUAGGUGGCUGCAUAAGUCGGAUGUGAAAGCCCUGGGCUUAACCUGGGAAUGGCAUUCGAUACUGUGCGGCUAGAGUCUGAUAGAGGGAAGUGGAAUUCCAGGUGUAGCGGUGAAAUGCGUAGAUAUCUGGAGGAACAUCAGUGGCGAAGGCGGCUUCCUGGAUCAAGACUGACACUGAGGCUCGAAAGCGUGGGGAGCAAACAGGAUUAGAUACCCCANUANUC